Molecule: ribosomal RNA, 451 nt
Filed under: uncultured bacterium
Lineage: Bacteria
Description: partial 16S ribosomal RNA
Rfam family: Bacterial small subunit ribosomal RNA
Source: RNAcentral
AACGAACGCUGGCGGCAGGCUUAACACAUGCAAGUCGAACGGGUGUAGCAAUACAUCAGUGGCAGACGGGGGAGUAACACGUGGGAACCUUCCUAGAGGUACGGAACAACUCAGGGAAACUUGAGCUAAUACCGUAUAAGCUCUUGCGAGGAAAGAUUUAUCGCCUUUAGACGGGCCCGCGUAGGAUUAGGUAGUUGGUGGGGUAAUGGCCUACCAAGCCUACGAUCCUUAGCUGAUCUGAGAGGAUGAUCAGCCACACUGGGACUGAGACACGGCCCAGACUCCUACGGGAGGCAGCAGUGGGGAAUCUUGGACAAUGGGCGCAAGCCUGAUCCAGCCAUGCCGCGUGAGUGAAGAAGGCCUUCGGGUUGUAAAGCUCUUUUACCAGGGACGAUAAUGACGGUACCUGGAGAAUAAGCCCCGGCAAACUUCGUGCCAGCCGCCGCCGUAA